Molecule: ribosomal RNA, 468 nt
Filed under: uncultured bacterium
Lineage: Bacteria
Description: partial 16S ribosomal RNA
Rfam family: Bacterial small subunit ribosomal RNA
Source: RNAcentral
GACGAACGCUGGCGGCGUGCUUAACACAUGCAAGUCGAACGGAAAGGCCCUGCUUUUGUGGUGUGCUCGAUUGCCGAACGCGUGAGUAACACGUGUGUAACCUGCCCUUGUCUUUGGGAUAACUUCACGAAACUGGGGCUAAUAUCGGAUAGGAUCUCCUGCACCAUGGUGGGGGUUGGAAAGUUUCGGCGGUUGGGGAUGGACUCGCGGCUUAACAGCUUGUUGGUGGGGUAGUUGCUUACCAAGGCUUUGACGGGUAGCCCGCCUGAGAGGGUGAACGGCGACAAGGGGACUAAGAGACGGCGCAGUCGGCAACGGGAGGCAACAGGGGGGAGUCUGGCACAGUGAGCCGGAGUCUGAGACGGAAGCCUCCCGUGCGGAAAGACGGCCUUCGGGUUAAGAACAGCUUUCGCCUGAGACGAAGCGUGAGUGACGGUAAUGAAUAAAGAAGCACCGGCUAACUACGUG